Molecule: ribosomal RNA, 926 nt
Filed under: Ecumenicus monohystera
Lineage: Eukaryota; Metazoa; Nematoda; Enoplea; Dorylaimida; Qudsianematidae
Also listed under: 1 other name
Description: SSU rRNA
Rfam family: Eukaryotic small subunit ribosomal RNA
Source: RNAcentral
AAAGAUUAAGCCAUGCAUGUCUAAGCACAUGCCUUAAUACGGUGAAGCCGCGAAUAGCUCAUUACAACAGCCACCGUUUACUAGAAUAUAGUUAUCCUACUUGGAUAACUGUGGCAAUUCUAGAGCUAAUACAUGCAAAAAAGCUCUGACCGCAAGGAACGAGCGCAUUUAUUAGAAUAAAAACCAAUCGGGUUUCGGCCCGUAAUUUGGUGAAUCUGAAUAACUUUGCCAAUCGCACAGUCCUAGUACUGGCGAUGUAUCUUUCAAGUGUCUGCCUUAUCAACUUUCGAUGGUAGGUUAUACGCCUACCAUGGUAGUAACGGGUAACGGAGAAUAAGGGUUCGACUCCGGAGAGGGAGCCUGAGAAACGGCUACCACAUCCAAGGAAGGCAGCAGGCGCGCAAAUUACCCACUUCCAGAACGGAGAGGUAGUGACGAAAAAUAACGAGACAGUCCUCUUCGAGGUCUGUCAUCGGAAUGGGUACAAUUUAAAUCCUUUAACGAGGAUCUAUUGGAGGGCAAGUCUGGUGCCAGCAGCCGCGGUAAUUCCAGCUCCAAUAGCGUAUAUUAAAGUUGUUGCGGUUAAAACGCUCGUAGUUGGAUCUGCGGCCUCGGAGAACGGUCCCCCGAAAGGGUGGUCACUGUCUCUCCUAGCCUAAAUUCGAGUCGUCUCUAGGUGCUCUUUACCGAGUGCCUAGAGUGACUAGAACGUUUACUUUGAAAAAAUUAGAGUGCUUAAAGCAGGCGAAAUAGCCUGAAUAAGGUGCAUGGAAUAAUGGAAUAGGACCUCGGUUCUAUUUUGUUGGUUUUCGGAACCCGAGGUAAUGAUUAAGAGGAACAGACGGGGGCAUUCGUAUUCCGGCGCUAGAGGUGAAAUUCUUGGACCGCCGGAAGACGGACAACUGCGAAAGCAUUUGCCAAGAAUG